UGGGGAAUAUUGCGCAAUGGGCGAAAGCCUGACGCAGCCAUGCCGCGUGUGUGAAGAAGGCCUUCGGGUUGUAAAGCACUUUCACUGGGGAAGCAAAGCUGGUGGUUAAUAACCAUUAGCCGUGACAUUACCUAGAGAAGAAGCACCGGCUAACUCCGUGCCAGCAGCCGCGGUAAUACGGAGGGUCCGAGCGUUUAUCGCAAUUACUGGGCGUAAAGCGCGCGUAGGCGGUUUGUUAAGUCGGAUGUGAAAGCCCCGGGCUCAACCUGGGAACUGCACCCGAUACUGGCCGACUGGAGUGCGAGAGAGGGAGGUAGAAUUCCACGUGUAGCGGUGAAAUGUGUAGAUAUGUGGAGGAAUACUGGUGGCGAAGGCGGCCUCCUGGCUCGACACUGACGCUGAGGUGCGAAAGCGUGGGGAGCAAACAGGAUUAGAUACCCGUGUAGUCC
RNAcentral lists this ribosomal RNA (449 nucleotides) under uncultured prokaryote. RNAcentral describes it as "bacterial SSU rRNA". It matches the Rfam family "Bacterial small subunit ribosomal RNA", at positions 355 to 796 of the family's 1533-position model. The record is from RNAcentral.